RNAcentral lists this small RNA (258 nucleotides) under Arabidopsis thaliana (thale cress). Its description in RNAcentral is "ATSL015960". The stretch from base 68 to 189 matches the Rfam family "MIR405 microRNA precursor family". The record is from RNAcentral. Lineage: Eukaryota; Viridiplantae; Streptophyta; Magnoliopsida; Brassicales; Brassicaceae.
UAUUAAUAAUGAUAAUUAUUUAUUAUUGUUUUAUAAUAAUAAUUAAUUAAAUUAUUACUUAAAUGGGUUAACCCAUUUAACAACUCAACCCAUCAAAUUAAAUGAGUUAUGGGUUGAUCCAACCCAUUUAACAAAAUGAGUUGGGUCAACCCAUAACUCAUUUAAUUUUAAACUCAUUUGAUUAUGAGUUGAGUUGAGUUGGGUUACCCAUUUUGACACCCUAUGAUUUAUAAUGAAAUGAAUUACAGUAAAAAUUAU